RNAcentral lists this ribosomal RNA (696 nucleotides) under Aracamunia dimorpha. RNAcentral describes it as "eukaryotic LSU rRNA". It matches the Rfam family "Eukaryotic large subunit ribosomal RNA", at positions 1313 to 1903 of the family's 3401-position model. Lineage: Eukaryota; Metazoa; Arthropoda; Insecta; Hemiptera; Cercopidae. The record is from RNAcentral.
UGAAAAUGGAUGGCGCUGUAGCGUCGUGCCUAUACUCGGCCGUCAACGGCACAGGGGGCGGCACCUUCGCGGGUGCCGGGCCGUUACGCCUUGACGAGUAGGAGGGUCGCGGCGGUGGGCGCAGAAGGGUCUGGGCGUGAGCCUGCCUGGAGCCGCCGUUGGCGCAGAUCUUGGUGGUAGUAGCAAAUACUCCAGCGAGGACCUGGAGGACUGACGUGGAGAAGGGUUUCUUGUGAACAGCUGUUGCACAAGAGUCAGUCGAUCCUAAGCCCUAGGAGAAAUCCUAUGUCGAUGGGAAGCCGUUGAAAAUAGAAGGCGCAAUGCGCUCUUAUAUUGGAAGGCGACCCACGGGGCGAAAGGGAAUCCGGUUCCUAUUCCGGAACCCGGCUGCGGAACCGUUCAUAAGCGGGCCCUCAUCCGAGAGCUCGACGGGGCAACCCGAAGAGACCCGGAGACGCCGGCGGGAGGUCCGGAGAGAGUUUUCUUUUCUCUAUAAGCGUUCGAGUUCCCUGGAAGCCUAUAGCAGGGAGAUAGGGUUUGGAACGCGAAGAGCACCGCAGUUGCGGCGGUGUCCGGAUCUUCCCCUCGGACCUUGAAAAUCCGGGAGAGGGCUACGCGGAAUGUCCGCGCCGGAUCGUACCCAUAUCCGCAGCAGGUCUCCAAGGUUAAGAGCCUCUAGUCGAUAGAAUAAUGUAG